GACGAACGCUGGCGGCGUGCUUAACACAUGCAAGUCGAGCGGUAAGGCCUCUUCGGGGGUUCACGAGCGGCGCACGGGGGAGUAACACGCGGGUGACCUUCCCUCAGCUCGGGGAUAAGCCUGGGAAACUGGGCCUAAUACCGGAAAUGACCCUUCCGGGCAUGGGGGUUGGUGGAAAGUGUUUUCGGCUGGGGAUGGGCCUGCGGCCUAUCAGCUUGUUGGUGGGGUGAUGGCCUACCAAGGCGACGACGGGUAACCGGCCUGAGAGGACGACCGGCCAAACUGGGACGGAGGCACGGGUCGGGCACCUACGAGAGGGAGCGGUAGCGUGUAUUACGCAAGGGGCGGGAGCGAGGCGGAGCUACGCAGCGUGAGGGACGACGGCCUGCGGGUUAGGACCGUCUGUCGACCCCGACGAAUUUGGACGUUAGCGGUAGAAGAAGCACCGGCCAACUACGUG
RNAcentral lists this ribosomal RNA (460 nucleotides) under uncultured bacterium. RNAcentral describes it as "partial 16S ribosomal RNA". It matches the Rfam family "Bacterial small subunit ribosomal RNA", at positions 28 to 507 of the family's 1533-position model. The record is from RNAcentral.